CAUUUGUGGAGGAAGGGACAUCUGUUGCACAACAGGCCAGUGAGUAGCUGCGGAGCACAAUACAUUUUCUUUCUUAGCAAGCAUGAGGCUGAUGCGGAGCACAAUACGUUUUCUUUCUUUGCAGAUCAAUUUGAGUUUGUGGUUGCAACGUUACGCUCCCAUUGAGUACAUUUUUGGAAAAAGGAAUAUCUGUUGUACCACAAGCCAC
Long non-coding RNA from Schistocerca gregaria, 208 nucleotides. RefSeq lists it as uncharacterized. NCBI's taxonomy places the organism in Eukaryota, Metazoa, Arthropoda, Insecta, Orthoptera, Acrididae. The record is from RefSeq and is a predicted model, not a curated record. The transcript has 3 exons.